This is a non-coding RNA of Mesocricetus auratus (golden hamster), 266 nucleotides long. The record is from Rfam. NCBI's taxonomy places the organism in Eukaryota, Metazoa, Chordata, Mammalia, Rodentia, Cricetidae.
GGAUAAGGACAAUUUGGCUGCAAAAUCUGACACCCAUUAAUCACCAGGUUUGAUUUGGAUGAUCUUUCUGGUUAAGCUGGUUUCCCCUUCCUCUGUCACUGCCAAUAGAGGAGGACCAGUUUUUGGUCAGGGGUAUAAGGGUAGCUGUGCUCCUCUGCUAGAAUCUCCAAACAAGCUCCCAAAAAUAUCACCUAAUGAAACAUUUUUGAAAAAAAUAAUUGAUUUUGCUACCCCUUUCUACUCUAAAUUUACCUCUGUUUAAAAAU